RNAcentral lists this unclassified non-coding RNA (315 nucleotides) under Hevea brasiliensis (rubber tree). The record is from RNAcentral. Lineage: Eukaryota; Viridiplantae; Streptophyta; Magnoliopsida; Malpighiales; Euphorbiaceae.
UUUUUUUUUUUUUUUUUCAAUUCUUUUCCAAUUUUUAGUUUAUGCAUUUCAAGAAAUUCUUGCCUAGAUGUGUACAGAUUAUUAUCCAGAUGGAUUUGGCACUUGGUGGGUGGGGAGGGGAAGAUUUGUGGGUUUUAUUUUUUUUAGCUAAUAUUCUUGACAAAUUCAUGUGCUUACAGUGCUAGAUUUCAGUUCCUUAUUUUAGGGUUCCAUUGCUAUGGAACAAUUUUGGUGGGAUGAUGAUUUCUUUGUAUGUAAUGAAAUUAUUGGAAUGGAUAAUAGAAGAAUAAAAUGCGGUUAUUUACUGUUCAAAAA